GUCUACAGCCAUAGCACCCUGAACAAGCCUGAUGUCUGAUCUCGGAAGCUAAGCAGGGUCAGGCCUGGUUAGUACUUGGAUGGGAGACCCCCUAGGAAAACCAGGUGCUGUAGGCA
RNAcentral lists this ribosomal RNA (116 nucleotides) under Pteropus alecto (black flying fox). The record is from RNAcentral. Lineage: Eukaryota; Metazoa; Chordata; Mammalia; Chiroptera; Pteropodidae.